This 91-nucleotide transfer RNA is filed under the name Odoribacter laneus. Its description in RNAcentral is "tRNA-Ser". It matches the Rfam family "tRNA". Rfam says of the family: Transfer RNA (tRNA) molecules are approximately 80 nucleotides in length. Their secondary structure includes four short double-helical elements and three loops (D, anti-codon, and T loops). Further hydrogen bonds mediate the characteristic L-shaped molecular structure. tRNAs have two regions of fundamental functional importance: the anti-codon, which is responsible for specific mRNA codon recognition, and the 3' end, to which the tRNAs corresponding amino acid is attached (by aminoacyl-tRNA synthetases). tRNAs cope with the degeneracy of the genetic code in two manners: having more than one tRNA (with a specific anti-codon) for a particular amino acid; and 'wobble' base-pairing, i.e. permitting non-standard base-pairing at the 3rd anti-codon position. The record is from RNAcentral. Lineage: Bacteria; Pseudomonadati; Bacteroidota; Bacteroidia; Bacteroidales; Odoribacteraceae. RNAcentral also lists the same sequence under 3 other names.
GGAGAGAUGGGUGAGUGGCUGAAACCAACAGUUUGCUAAACUGUCGUAUCCGAUUAGGGUACCGGGGGUUCGAAUCCCCCUCUCUCCGCCA